UACGGAAGGCAGCAGUGGGGAAUAUUGCACAAUGGGCGCAAGCCUGAUGCAGCGACGCCGCGUGGGGGAUGACGGCCUUCGGGUUGUAAACUCCUUUCGCUAGGGACGAAGCUUUUUAGUGACGGUACCUAGAUAAGAAGCAACCGGCUAACUACGUGCCAGCAGCCGCGGUAAUACGUAGGGUGCGAGCGUUGUCCGGAAUUACUGGGCGUAAAGGGCUCGUAGGUGGUUUGUCGCGUCGUCUGUGAAAUUCCGGGGCUUAACUCCGGGCGUGCAGGCGAUACGGGCAUAACUUGAGUACUGUAGGGGUAACUGGAAUUCCUGGUGUAGCGGUGAAAUGCGCAGAUAUCAGGAGGAAACACCGAUGGCGAAGGCAGGUUACUGGGCAGUUACUGACGCUGAGGAGCGAAAGCAUGGGGUAGCGAACAGGAUUAGAUACC
Molecule: ribosomal RNA, 440 nt
Filed under: uncultured bacterium
Lineage: Bacteria
Description: bacterial SSU rRNA
Rfam family: Bacterial small subunit ribosomal RNA
Source: RNAcentral